Molecule: ribosomal RNA, 468 nt
Filed under: uncultured bacterium
Lineage: Bacteria
Description: partial 16S ribosomal RNA
Rfam family: Bacterial small subunit ribosomal RNA
Source: RNAcentral
GACGAACGCUGGCGGCGUGCUUAACACAUGCAAGUCGAACGGAAAGGCCCUGCUUUUGUGGGGUGCUCGAGUGGCGAACGGGUGAGUAACAAGUGAGUAACCUGCCCUUGACUUUGGGAUAACUUCAGGAAACUGGGGCUAAUACCGGAUAGGAGCUCCUGCUGCAUGGUGGGGGUUGGAAAGUUUCGGCGGUUGGGGAUGGACUCGCGGCUUAUCAGCUUGUUGGUGGGGUAGUGGCUUACCGAGGCUUUGACGGGUAGCCGGCCUGAGAGGGUGACCGGCCACAUUGGGACUGAGAUACGGCCCAGACUCCUACGGGAGGCAGCAGUGGGGAAUAUUGCACAAUGGGCGGAAGCCUGAUGCAGCAACGCCGCGUGCGGGAUGACGGCCUUCGGGUUGUAAACCGCUUUCGCCUGUGACGAAGCGUGAGUGACGGUAAUGUGUAAAGAAGCACCGGCUAACUACGUG